This 497-nucleotide ribosomal RNA is filed under the name uncultured bacterium. Its description in RNAcentral is "partial 16S ribosomal RNA". It matches the Rfam family "Bacterial small subunit ribosomal RNA", at positions 28 to 507 of the family's 1533-position model. The record is from RNAcentral.
GAUGAACGCUGGCGGCGUGCCUAAUACAUGCAAGUAGAACGCUGAAGCUUGGUGCUUGCCCCGAGCAGAUGAGUUGCGAACGGGUGAGUAACGCGUAGGUAACCUGCCUCUUAGCGGGGGAUAACUAUUGGAAACGAUAGCUAAUACCGCAUAAAAGUCGAUAUCGCAUGAUAUUGAUUUGAAAGGUGCAAAUGCAUCACUAAGAGAUGGACCUGCGUUGUAUUAGCUAGUUGGUGAGGUAACGGCUCACCAAGGCGACGAUACAUAGCCGACCUGAGAGGGUGAUCGGCCACACUGGGACUGAGACACGGCCCAGACUCCUACGGGAGGCAGCAGUAGGGAAUCUUCGGCAAUGGGGGCAACCCUGACCGAGCAACGCCGCGUGAGUGAAGAAGGUUUUCGGAUCGUAAAGCUCUGUUGUAAGAGAAGAACGAGUGUGAGAGUGGAAAGUUCACACUGUGACGGUAACUUACCAGAAAGGGACGGCUAACUACGUG